GACGAACGCUGGCGGCGUGCUUAACACAUGCAAGUCGAACGGAAAGGCCCUGCUUUUGUGGGGUGCUCGAGUGGCGAACGGGUGAGUAACACGUGAGUAACCUGCCCUUGUCUUUGGGAUAACUUCAGGAAACUGGGGCUAAUACCGGAUAGGAGCUCCUGCUGCAUGGCGGGGGUUGGAAAGUUUCGGCGGUUGGGGAUGGACUCGCGGCUUAUCAGCUUGUUGGUGGGGUAGUGGCUUACCAAGGCUUUGACGGGUAGCCGGCCUGAGAGGGUGACCGGCCACAUUGGGACUGAGAUACGGCCCAGACUCCUACGGGAGGCAGCAGUGGGGAAUAUUGCACAAUGGGCGGAAGCCUGAUGCAGCAACGCCGCGUGCGGGAUGACGGCCUUCGGGUUGUAAACCGCUUUCGCCUGUGACGAAGCGUGAGUGACGGUAAUGGGUAAAGAAGCACCGGCUAACUACGUG
This 468-nucleotide ribosomal RNA is filed under the name uncultured bacterium. RNAcentral describes it as "partial 16S ribosomal RNA". It matches the Rfam family "Bacterial small subunit ribosomal RNA", at positions 28 to 507 of the family's 1533-position model. The record is from RNAcentral.